Molecule: transfer RNA, 75 nt
Filed under: Oscillospiraceae bacterium
Lineage: Bacteria; Bacillati; Bacillota; Clostridia; Eubacteriales; Oscillospiraceae
Description: tRNA-Glu
Rfam family: tRNA
About the family: Transfer RNA (tRNA) molecules are approximately 80 nucleotides in length.
Source: RNAcentral
GGCCCGUUGGUCAAGAGGUUAAGACUCCAGCCUCUCACGCUGGCAUCAUGAGUUCGAUUCUCAUACGGGUCACCA